Molecule: long non-coding RNA, 313 nt
Organism: Mustela erminea (ermine)
Lineage: Eukaryota; Metazoa; Chordata; Mammalia; Carnivora; Mustelidae
Exons: 4
Source: RefSeq, a predicted model, not a curated record
GCCAAGCAUAGCCCACCACUACCAGAAGCUGGAAGAGGCAAGGAGGGAUUCUCCCCUACAGAUCUUUGUAGGAUGGCCAUGUUUGGUUAAGAAGAAUGACAGAUGAGCACAGAUGUUUUGCAAAUAUUGCUGGACUCAAUUGCUUUUCCUGUACUCCAUGUGGACUUUCUGACAGUGAAAGAAGGACAUGCUUCAGGAUGUCCAAGGAAUCUUGAUCACCGUUCCCUUCUGUAAGAUAUCAUACUGGUCGAUUAGAUUGAUGACACUGUGCUGAUUGGACCUAGCAGGAAAGAAGUAGCAACUAUUCUACACU